CCUACGGGGGGCAGCAGUGGGGAAUAUUGGACAAUGGGCGAAAGCCUGAUCCAGCCAUGCCGCGUGUGUGAAGAAGGCCUUCGGGUUGUAAAGCACUUUCAGUGGGGAAGAAAGCCUUGGGGCUAAUACCCUCGAGGAAGGACAUCACCCACAGAAGAAGCACCGGCUAACUCCGUGCCAGCAGCCGCGGUAAUACGGAGGGUGCGAGCGUUAAUCGGAAUUACUGGGCGUAAAGCGCGCGUAGGCGGUCUGAUAAGCCGGUUGUGAAAGCCCCGGGCUCAACCUGGGAACGGCAUCCGGAACUGUCAGGCUAGAGUGCAGGAGAGGAAGGUAGAAUUCCCGGUGUAGCGGUGAAAUGCGUAGAGAUCGGGAGGAAUACCAGUGGCGAAGGCGGCCUUCUGGUCUGACACUGACGCUGAGGUGCGAAAGCGUGGGUAGCAAACAGGAUUAGAUACCCGUGUAGUC
This 465-nucleotide ribosomal RNA is filed under the name Vreelandella stevensii. RNAcentral describes it as "partial 16S ribosomal RNA". It matches the Rfam family "Bacterial small subunit ribosomal RNA", at positions 338 to 795 of the family's 1533-position model. The record is from RNAcentral. Lineage: Bacteria; Pseudomonadati; Pseudomonadota; Gammaproteobacteria; Oceanospirillales; Halomonadaceae.